Vicia villosa (hairy vetch) is the source of this 558-nucleotide long non-coding RNA. RefSeq lists it as uncharacterized. The record is from RefSeq and is a predicted model, not a curated record. The transcript is spliced from 3 exons. NCBI's taxonomy places the organism in Eukaryota, Viridiplantae, Streptophyta, Magnoliopsida, Fabales, Fabaceae.
GAUGAAAGUCCACAACAAUGUUGUUAUGGAGCUGAUGCGGGGUUCGUGGAAAUGGUAAAGUUUGGGAAAUGGCAAUAGGGGAAGCAGAGAGGGCACUUUGUUCUAUUAGAACAACUAUUUCUGGAGAUCUGAAUGUAAAUGAAGAGAUAUGCAGGAACUCAUUGUUGAGAAUGUGGUAAGGUGCAUAUAAGGUAGUUCUGAGGCUUCGAUAUUCUACAAUUCUACCGGCUACUUUGAUGAGUUUGUUUGGGGAGGCGCGUGGACGUACUUUGAUGAGUUUGUACAUAAUUACACAAAUUGUAUAACUACUGCUCUUUUUCUACAGCCAUACAAUUUGCUUGAAGUAGAUUGUGCUGCUUCAUGGAAAUUGUUCUCUCUGAGCAUGACAUUCAAUGCUUAUGAAGUUACACUUGCACAUACAUUUGUUUUGGAUUCAACUCACUGUGAAAUUAUUUUCUCUUUGGGCAUAAUGGUAUAUCAGGAUUUCAAAGUCCCCUUCACCAUCACCCUGGAAGGCUCAAUCAAGAUCACAAUCAAGAUCGAGGUUUGUGCCAAUAA